CUAUAUAUAUAUAUAAAAAAUUUACAAUUUUUAAUAUUAUAGA
RNAcentral lists this transfer RNA (43 nucleotides) under Panonychus ulmi (European red spider mite). Its description in RNAcentral is "tRNA-Val". Lineage: Eukaryota; Metazoa; Arthropoda; Arachnida; Trombidiformes; Tetranychidae. The record is from RNAcentral.